This 2678-nucleotide ribosomal RNA is filed under the name Escherichia coli. RNAcentral describes it as "partial 23S ribosomal RNA". It matches the Rfam family "Bacterial large subunit ribosomal RNA". Lineage: Bacteria; Pseudomonadati; Pseudomonadota; Gammaproteobacteria; Enterobacterales; Enterobacteriaceae. The record is from RNAcentral.
ACCGAGAUUCCCCCAGUAGCGGCGAGCGAACGGGGAGGAGCCCAGAGCCUGAAUCAGUGUGUGUGUUAGUGGAAGCGUCUGGAAAGGCGCGCGAUACAGGGUGACAGCCCCGUACACAAAAAUGCACAUACUGUGAGCUCGAUGAGUAGGGCGGGACACGUGGUAUCCUGUCUGAAUAUGGGGGGACCAUCCUCCAAGGCUAAAUACUCCUGACUGACCGAUAGUGAACCAGUACCGUGAGGGAAAGGCGAAAAGAACCCCGGCGAGGGGAGUGAAAAAGAACCUGAAACCGUGUACGUACAAGCAGUGGGAGCCUCUUAAUGGGGUGACUGCGUACCUUUUGUAUAAUGGGUCAGCGACUUAUAUUCUGUAGCAAGGUUAACCGAAUAGGGGAGCCGAAGGGAAACCGAGUCUUAACUGGGCGUUAAGUUGCAGGGUAUAGACCCGAAACCCGGUGAUCUAGCCAUGGGCAGGUUGAAGGUUGGGUAACACUAACUGGAGGACCGAACCGACUAAUGUUGAAAAAUUAGCGGAUGACUUGUGGCUGGGGGUGAAAGGCCAAUCAAACCGGGAGAUAGCUGGUUCUCCCCGAAAGCUAUUUAGGUAGCGCCUCGUGAAUUCAUCUCCGGGGGUAGAGCACUGUUUCGGCAAGGGGGUCAUCCCGACUUACCAACCCGAUGCAAACUGCGAAUACCGGAGAAUGUUAUCACGGGAGACACACGGCGGGUGCUAACGUCCGUCGUGAAGAGGGAAACAACCCAGACCGCCAGCUAAGGUCCCAAAGUCAUGGUUAAGUGGGAAACGAUGUGGGAAGGCCCAGACAGCCAGGAUGUUGGCUUAGAAGCAGCCAUCAUUUAAAGAAAGCGUAAUAGCUCACUGGUCGAGUCGGCCUGCGCGGAAGAUGUAACGGGGCUAAACCAUGCACCGAAGCUGCGGCAGCGACACUAUGUGUUGUUGGGUAGGGGAGCGUUCUGUAAGCCUGUGAAGGUGUACUGUGAGGUAUGCUGGAGGUAUCAGAAGUGCGAAUGCUGACAUAAGUAACGAUAAAGCGGGUGAAAAGCCCGCUCGCCGGAAGACCAAGGGUUCCUGUCCAACGUUAAUCGGGGCAGGGUGAGUCGACCCCUAAGGCGAGGCCGAAAGGCGUAGUCGAUGGGAAACAGGUUAAUAUUCCUGUACUUGGUGUUACUGCGAAGGGGGGACGGAGAAGGCUAUGUUGGCCGGGCGACGGUUGUCCCGGUUUAAGCGUGUAGGCUGGUUUUCCAGGCAAAUCCGGAAAAUCAAGGCUGAGGCGUGAUGACGAGGCACUACGGUGCUGAAGCGACAAAUGCCCUGCUUCCAGGAAAAGCCUCUAAGCAUCAGGUAACAUCAAAUCGUACCCCAAACCGACACAGGUGGUCAGGUAGAGAAUACCAAGGCGCUUGAGAGAACUCGGGUGAAGGAACUAGGCAAAAUGGUGCCGUAACUUCGGGAGAAGGCACGCUGAUAUGUAGGUGAAGCGACUUGCUCGUGGAGCUGAAAUCAGUCGAAGAUACCAGCUGGCUGCAACUGUUUAUUAAAAACACAGCACUGUGCAAACACGAAAGUGGACGUAUACGGUGUGACGCCUGCCCGGUGCCGGAAGGUUAAUUGAUGGGGUUAGCGGUAACGCGAAGCUCUUGAUCGAAGCCCCGGUAAACGGCGGCCGUAACUAUAACGGUCCUAAGGUAGCGAAAUUCCUUGUCGGGUAAGUUCCGACCUGCACGAAUGGCGUAAUGAUGGCCAGGCUGUCUCCACCCGAGACUCAGUGAAAUUGAACUCGCUGUGAAGAUGCAGUGUACCCGCGGCAAGACGGAAAGACCCCGUGAACCUUUACUAUAGCUUGACACUGAACAUUGAGCCUUGAUGUGUAGGAUAGGUGGGAGGCUUUGAAGUGUGGACGCCAGUCUGCAUGGAGCCGACCUUGAAAUACCACCCUUUAAUGUUUGAUGUUCUAACGUGGGCCCCUUACCGGGGUUGCGGACAGUGUCUGGUGGGUAGUUUGACUGGGGCGGUCUCCUCCUAAAGAGUAACGGAGGAGCACGAAGGUUGGCUAAUCCUGGUCGGACAUCAGGAGGUUAGUGCAAUGGCAUAAGCCAGCUUGACUGCGAGCGUGACGGCGCGAGCAGGUGCGAAAGCAGGUCAUAGUGAUCCGGUGGUUCUGAAUGGAAGGGCCAUCGCUCAACGGAUAAAAGGUACUCCGGGGAUAACAGGCUGAUACCGCCCAAGAGUUCAUAUCGACGGCGGUGUUUGGCACCUCGAUGUCGGCUCAUCACAUCCUGGGGCUGAAGUAGGUCCCAAGGGUAUGGCUGUUCGCCAUUUAAAGUGGUACGCGAGCUGGGUUUAGAACGUCGUGAGACAGUUCGGUCCCUAUCUGCCGUGGGCGCUGGAGAACUGAGGGGGGCUGCUCCUAGUACGAGAGGACCGGAGUGGACGCAUCACUGGUGUUCGGGUUGUCAUGCCAAUGGCACUGCCCGGUAGCUAAAUGCGGAAGAGAUAAGUGCUGAAAGCAUCUAAGCACGAAACUUGCCCCGAGAUGAGUUCUCCCUGACUCCUUGAGAGUCCUGAAGGAACGUUGAAGACGACGACGUUGAUAGGCCGGGUGUGUAAGCGCAGCGAUGCGUUGAGCUAACCGGUACUAAUGAACCGUGAGGCUUAACCUU